AGUUUGAUGCAUGGCUCAGGACGAACGCCUGGCGGCGUGCCUAAUACAUGCAAGUAGAACGCUGAAGAGAGGAGCUUGCUCUUCUUGGAUGAGUUUGCGAACGGGUGAGUAACGCGUAGGUAACCUGCCUUGUAGCGGGGGAUAACUAUUGGAAACGAUAGCUAAUACCGCAUAACAAUGGAUGACACAUGUCAUUUAUUUGAAAGGGGCAAUUGCUCCACUACAAGAUGGACCUGCGUUGUAUUAGCUAGUAGGUGAGGUAACGGCUCACCUAGGCGACGAUACAUAGCCGACCUGAGAGGGUGAUCGGCCACACUGGGACUGAGACACGGCCCAGACUCCUACGGGAGGCAGCAGUAGGGAAUCUUCGGCAAUGGGGGCAACCCUGACCGAGCAACGCCGCGUGAGUGAAGAAGGUUUUCGGAUCGUAAAGCUCUGUUGUAAGUCAAGAACGAGUGUGAGAGUGGAAAGUUCACACUGUGACGGUAGCUUACCAGAAAGGGACGGCUAACUACGUGCCAGCAGCCGCGGUAAUACGUAGGUCCCGAGCGUUGUCCGGAUUUAUUGGGCGUAAAGCGAGCGCAGGCGGUUUGAUAAGUCUGAAGUUAAAGGCUGUGGCUCAACCAUAGUUCGCUUUGGAAACUGUCAAACUUGAGUGCAGAAGGGGAGAGUGGAAUUCCAUGUGUAGCGGUGAAAUGCGUAGAUAUAUGGAGGAACACCGGUGGCGAAAGCGGCUCUCUGGUCUGUAACUGACGCUGAGGCUCGAAAGCGUGGGGAGCGAACAGGAUUAGAUACCCUGGUAGUCCACGCCGUAAACGAUGAGUGCUAGGUGUUGGAUCCUUUCCGGGAUUCAGUGCCGCAGCUAACGCAUUAAGCACUCCGCCUGGGGAGUACGACCGCAAGGUUGAGACUCAAAGGAAUUGACGGGGGCCCGCACAAGCGGUGGAGCAUGUGGUUUAAUUCGAAGCAACGCGAAGAACCUUACCAGGUCUUGACAUCCCGAUGCUAUUUCUAGAGAUAGAAAGUUACUUCGGUGCAUCGGUGACAGGUGGUGCAUGGUUGUCGUCAGCUCGUGUCGUGAGAUGUUGGGUUAAGUCCCGCAACGAGCGCAACCCCUAUUGUUAGUUGCCAUCAUUCAGUUGGGCACUCUAGCGAGACUGCCGGUAAUAAACCGGAGGAAGGUGGGGAUGACGUCAAAUCAUCAUGCCCCUUAUGACCUGGGCUACACACGUGCUACAAUGGUUGGUACAACGAGUUGCGAGUCGGUGACGGCAAGCUAAUCUCUUAAAGCCAAUCUCAGUUCGGAUUGUAGGCUGCAACUCGCCUACAUGAAGUCGGAAUCGCUAGUAAUCGCGGAUCAGCACGCCGCGGUGAAUACGUUCCCGGGCCUUGUACACACCGCCCGUC
RNAcentral lists this ribosomal RNA (1407 nucleotides) under uncultured bacterium. Its description in RNAcentral is "bacterial SSU rRNA". It matches the Rfam family "Bacterial small subunit ribosomal RNA". The record is from RNAcentral.